CUUUAUUCUCAAUCUUGGCCAAGUUCCCACUGGAAAGUUUUUAAAAAUGCCAGUGUCCAGAUGUCUUGUGGACCCUUGUUAUUCAAAUUCUGGUCCACUACCAGCAGCAUUAGCAUCUAUGGGAGUUUGUUAAUGAUCUCAGGUCCCAUACCAGACCUUGAAUCAAAAUCUGCACUUUUGUAAAUUCCCCAGGAGAUUUACAUACCCAUUAAAAUUUGAGUCACAUUGCCUUAGAGUCACUGGAAGGAUUUGUUUAAACACAGAUUUUUAUUUUUUUUUAGGUCAGGGGUGGAGCUUGUGAAUUUGCAUUUCUAACAAAUUCCCCAGUGCUACCAAGGCUGCUGCAGAUCUGAGACUGUGUUUUGAGAAUUUCUGCCAUAAAUCAAUUAAAUUGGAAUCUCCCUGGAUAGGACCCAGGCACCAGUAUAUUUCAAAGCUCUCUAAGUGGUUCUAAUUUGCAGCCACAGUAGAGAACCGCCGGUAAAGCUUCAUCUGUUUCUCCUUCCACAUCUUCAGCUCUGUCCCUGACUACAUGAAGAGUUGAGUCUCCAUGUCUUCCUGGUUUAGCAUCACGGUGGUUUACUUUCACAUGAACUAAGUCAUAAAAAAAGAGACCCUGCUGAAAUUUCUCCAAGAUACUCCACAACAACAGGACAGUUUCCCCAUCUGGGUAUUUCUCCUGCCAAAUGAUGGAGACCAAAUGAUGGAAAAGCUCUUUCUUCUGGGUUCAAACCAGACCUUCUCUACGACUACCACGAGGAAACCCAGAGCAGUAAGUAUAUCUAACAUUUCACUCAUGUUUUGUCCCCACUUACAAAGCUAGGGGCUUGUGACUUAUCCUCAUAUUAGAAACCCUCUUAUCUGACAUGUUCAGAAUAGGUGGUUGACUCAUUUAUUAAAUAAAUGUAUUAAAGUCAAGAAUCUUCAAAAAACAAUACCUUAAACAUUCUUUAUAAAUGAAAACAUUUCAAUGCAUUUAGCUUGCUGCUCUUUUGAUGUAGGUCUUUGCUUUGAGUGUGAAUCUGCUAGUUAGAUUUCUACAAUGUCUUUACAUAAAGCCCAUCCAUUGUGCGUCAUCCAUGAUUUCCAAGUUUUUGUCAUUAUAAUAAAGUGAGAGAUUAAGACACUUGGAAACAAUCUGAGUUAACCAUUAUUCCCAUUUCCCCAGUCUUUUAUAGCUGUAGGUGUAGCACACCUACAGCUAACUGAACCACAAUUUUUCUUUAGCAAAUUGACUAGCAUUCUUUUAACUUUUCAUAUAAACACUUCUCUUAACUUGUGAAUGUCACAUUAGUUUACUUUAUAGUCAUUUACUAUAUUUACAUAGUAUAAUAGCAGUGCGACUAUCAUCAAAAGAUUUGGAACUCCUGGUAAACAGCCAUCACAAGGGGACCAGAAGCGCAUGCGUGUACUGAAAGACAGCCUUCUGCAGUGUCAUAGACAUUACCAAGUAGAUUUUAUGGAAAACAUAGCGUCUGCUCAUCUACUCAGAUGGAGAUGGGAUAAGGAAUCCACUCUUCUUUCUUGGGCUUGUAACUCUUGUAAAUUCCUGUUCAUUUAGAAAAGAAUCAAACAAAUAAACUGCAAAAGAACCUGUUUAACACCUGCCCCGACAUUACAACUAGAGAAUGACCUUAAUCAAAAGGCACAGAUCUAAACAAAAAUCUACAGGGAAGGAAGCAAAGAAUUCAAGGCAGAAAACAAGGGUGAACAGAGAAAAUUUUUUCCUCUGCAUUCUUCUGAAGAAAAGUCAUGUAUGAAUAUAACAUUUACUAAAGUAAAAAGAGAAAGAUACUACCUUACCAAGUGCUGUUCACUGCCACUCAAGUUACUGCCCACAGCUUCCCAAAUCAUCAAAGAUGGGUUGCAAUAAGAUGACCUUGAGAAUUCCUCUCAGGUUUCUUUGCACAAACCCUGACAAGUGAAUGACAUUUUUAAAGAAAAACCAGCAUACCACAUGGCUGGUUUGGCAAGUUUAUAAAGUUGUUUCAAAUGCAAUCACCAGUUUUGAGAUUUAAAAAGCAUUUUUAAAUGUCUUAUAGUACACAGACAAAAGGAACAAAGUGAGUUCAGUGUCUCUAACCAAAUAAAAAGCUUUGAAGAAGUAGCUGGCAUCAGUAAACAUGUUCUGACUGGAUGAUUUAAGCAGGGCACCCAUUUAAUACUACAGUUGCUCCUCCAUAGCUACAUUCAAUCUGCAUCACAAGGAUCCAGAAAACGUACUCAUUCUAAAAAGUACCUUAGGAACUCUUCAAGAAAUAGCAGAAAUUAGUUCAUUUCCUUAGUGACAGAAGAGAAUUAAGUCACCCUAGAAGGGGCAAUGUGGUUUUACCAGUCCCACAAAAUGUAACAAGCAACUAUAGAUAAUAAGCAAUAUUUUCUAAACAAGUAGCAACCUCAAGGAUCAUUUACAACAAUGAUAAAACCAAAUAGAAGACCUUCCUUCAUGCAUUUGAUCUCCAUAGACACUUAUUCUCCGUAAGUUGGGAGACACUUGUUUACAUAAAAUAAAACUCCAGCUAGUGAAAAAUGUGUAUCAGAAUACCUGCAAAUGAUAUUUUUGCAGAAACUGUACAAUAAUAGAGGUGGCCAAUGUGUGAUUCGUCACUGGCCAUUUUUAAGCUCCAGCCCAUUACGCUGACUACCAUUAUAGUUAUUUAAGCAUGAAAUGUUUGCCCUCAUUUUUAUUCAUAUGCUUCAUGGGCCAUUUGUUGUCAGCUAUAAAAUCAUUUACAAGGUAAUGGAGUUUACAGUUGAGAAAAACAAGAAGCCUCCUAAACAAUCUCAGAAUAUUGACUUAGUGUCAGGCAGGUGGCAUGAACUUAAAUUGAAUGUGAAACUGGAGUAAAAGGUGACUUUUUAACAAGCACUUUCUUAAAAAUAAAUGAGCAAGGGCUCUGCAGAUGUUCAGGUAUUGUUUCCCCUUUAAUAAGAAAGAGCUUAGCCAUAGAGGGAUGAGAACUUGGAAAUAACCUGCAAAGUCUUCACAGUUCACACACCACAACUGGAAAAAUUGGGCAAGACAAGACUAAUGUGAAAUAGAAUACCAUAUCUCACAACCACGCCGUCUACUAGAAAUGUUCUAUUUUCCAAUAAACAUAAAAAGUAAGACAUUUCAAAAAAUCUGUAAUGCCUACCAUGUGUGUGCAGGCACCAUUCUAGAUACCACAGAGGGAUAUGAAGAUGACAAGAACUUAGUUUUAAGAUAAAUACAUGAAUAACUUUAGCACAAAGUAGACUACAGCAGUGCUACAAACAAAACGUAUUCAUGCUGUAAUGUGAAGCUCACUAGUUGUCAGGUCCAGCCAAGAGAAUGAGUUCCACCCCAGUGCUGCUGUGUAGGGGAGGCGCCCCCUGCAGGCCUAAGAGUGCCACUGCAUACAUAUGCUUCCUCCACUACCUGGAAGCUCUUUGAAGAACUGAAGUUUUUAUUUAUUCUGGGUUCCUAGCACUUAGAUAAUAUCUAGGACAUAAAAAGAAGUUACUAAGUGUAAAAUGAAACCAUUUAAAUUAAAUUUCCUCCAUCCAGAAUUGGCCACUAUUCCUUCUUCCCCUUUCUCUACAUGUAUCUGUUCACGUUUCUAACACAUGAAAUAUAAAAUUUCUAAAUAUAAAAAUUCUAUCCAGCUUAAAAUGCUGAUUCUUCAUUAUAGAAAUAUCUCAUUUACGUCAAGUUUUCACCCCAGGCAGAAAUGUUAUAACUUUUCUCUGGAUUUUUCUAUAAUUCAUAUCCUUCAAUCUUCUAAAAUGGUUUGAAAUGACUAGGUUCUUAAAUCAAUUGUUGCAUCUAAGUCUCAUUUGACACUACUCCCCCAAAAAAGUUUUGUUUGACUAUUGCUAUGUGUAAACGUUUGCUUUUAUGUAUAAGCUCCUAGAGGAAACCAUUUGGCUCCUUCGUGAGGCCUCCAGCACCCUCAGGAAACAUCCAUUUACUGAUUUAACAAGAACUUAUUUAGCAUCAAUAUUGUUCCUGAAGCUAAAUAAAAUAUUGAUUAAAUGAAAUCAUAUUUCCAGAGAUGUUUGAAAGAUCCUUAGCCUUUGCAAACACUUAUCUCUUCUAACUCGGUGCUGUUUUGCUCAAAGGCUACUGGCACCCUGACUAAGACUAAAUACUCCAUUUACUUUUUGCCUUAAACCUUCAAGUACUGUCUUUCUCUGAGUCAUCUGCCUCCUGGAUAACAUUACAGACAACACAGACUGAUAAACCUUUAUCCAUGCCUUAUCUUACAUCAAAGAGAGUAUAAAGUUCAAUGAAAAAUAGUAAGCUUCUUUAUGAUUCUUCCUUAACUUGUACACAGGAGAUUCCUAGAUUCAAAAUGCAAAAGUCCUUUUUUUUCCCCCAUGAAAAUUUCAUGUCUCUUCAUUUGGUCCUUCAUAUUCCUAACAUAGCAAAAUAAAAACAAAAUGGUGAGAACACUAACUGUUUAGCUUUUAGCUCAUUGCUGGAUGCAUAGUAAAGACUGGACCAAAAAAAAAAAAUAGUUAACUAUUUUUAAUAGUAAUAAACAGGCAAAAAGUUUGUUAACUCUAAGGAAUCUUGUACAUAAGUGGAUAUUUUGUUUCACAGACAGUUCUCAUGUAAUCAGAGAUUUCAAAAGUCAACAUUCAGAAAAGUUUAUUUUAAAAAAUUUAAGAGCCACGCUGGGCGGUCUGUAGUGGGAAUUUUACAUGCAUUCAUUUUGAAGUUUCUCAUUUACAAGAGAUCAUUUGUGUUUCCUUCAGAGAACAUAAAGCACCUUUGUUACUUUUAAUCACAUGUCAAUGGUUUCAUUCUCGACACCAUGACCAUCCCAACAAGAACAUCAGCAAUCACAACAGGAUAUGAGUAUCUCACUUGAGCACUUCAUAGUCACCAGAUUGCAUCAUGUGUACCUCAUAUUUCUGAGAAUUCAUCCUCCAAUCUUAUAGAUUGCUAAUUUUCAUAUUAAACUAAAGCUGCUGAUUCACCUAAGAGAAAACAAAGAAAGAACAUGUACAAUUAUCUUUGAAUCAACAGCUGCUAUGCCCACUGAAAUAUUCCCCCUGUCUCACAUUGGAACACCAUCGCUCUGCUUUUGCAACUAAAAGGAGAUUGUUCUAAAUGCAGAUGAUGGGAAGGAUAAAUCAUCUUACUUUCAAGUCUUCCCCAGAGUGAUUUAAAGGAAAAUGUUUUAGAAAAUGUUUAUAACAUUUACAUUUGGGUGUUGUUUUUUUUUUUUUUGAAACACUAAAAAAAUCCAAUGUAGAAUGCUUAUAAAACUCCUUGAAGACCCCAAAACACAACAAAAAUGCCAGGUCCAGUAUAAGUGAAUUAAAUGUAUCUAUGGAAAUUCAAAAUAAAGACAAUUUGCUCUGAUUAAAAAAAAAACACUCUGGAGUAAAUUUCAAACAACUUGAGUGAUCCUAGAAAUCAUUAUAAUCUCUCACCAUCUGUGUCUUCUGACUUCUCCAUUCCUAACUUCUGUUCAGUUUUUCUCGUCACAGCCCCAAAGUGAAAAGCCUAUUUUAAAGGUUAUCCUCUCUUUUCCCACCUCUGUUGGGCAGACUUCCCUACUAUUAUAAUAGCAAUUAAAAAUAAUAAUAACUCUAGCCUACCAAUGACUGAGAUUGUUACAGAUCUCCUACUGGACCAUCCUCUGAUUAAAUGUUUGAAGCUCAAUUAAAAUGCAAAUUAACUGUAGACUAUAUAGUAAUUACAGCAAUAGCAGGACAGGAAAAAAAGUUUUGUCCAAGAAUGCAAAUCUUUGGAACUGUAAUUAAAUGUGUAAUUGUUUCUAUUUUACAGAAAUUUCUAUGACCUGGAAAGGGACCAGGAAAUCCUAGCUAAAAUGGUGUCCGAUUAGUAUAUUGCAAUCUGGCGGAAAAAAGUCACCUUAGAGACACAACAGUUUUAACCAUGUAUCUUUUAUGUCCUGUCACUGAGCUAAUUUUUCUUGAAUUGUUAAAUUGGGUGGGUUAACAUAGCAAAACCCUUUUAGUUCUUUUGGGAAAGGUUCAGGUCACUUGAUGACCUUCAAUAAUUUAUCAAUGAAGAAGAAACAUGUCUUUACAUAUGUUGAGAGAUGACUUCUAAAUAACAAGAGAUCAAUAUUUGCAUGUUUCAUAUGGGAGUGUAGGAACAGUGUACAUACAGGGCUUUAGUAAGAUAUAUGUCUGUAAAGAACAUAUGCUUAUUCAUAUGGCCCCCAUUUCACAUGACAGUGGCUGGUGGUGGGGGUGCCAGGAGGAUGUACAAUUGGAAUGCGAGAAAACCAACAGCAAUAAGAGAAGGACAGAAGGCACAAAGCACUGAAGGAGUCAUGAGAGGCAGAUGAUUAUAAGUCAUAAUGGUACAGAGAUCAGUUUGCAUUCUGAUGAUCUCAGAGAGGCAAAAAGUACCAGAAAGGAACAGAAGAAAUUAACAAUUGCCAAAAAAAUUAAGAAAAAACCACACCUUACAAGAAAUGACUGUGGCAGAGAAUUAGUAAUGGUUUAUCAAUAUGGAAUAAAUCAUAUUUAUAUAAAGCUAUAUAUUCCCAUGGAAUAUCUAUAGAAUAACCAAUGGGAGAGUGUGGACACACAGAAAAAGCAAUGGCAUCAUGAUUUCUACAAAUGUUCUUUCUCCCAAUAUAUUCAUCGUUACUGAAAAAUAUGAUACAAGUUGAUAAUAUAGACAGACAAAUUGUAAGUGCCCUAGCAGGAAAAAAGAGUCUGAAUAUUUUCUUAAGAACAAAAUGUUCUGCACUAUCUUGAAGGGAUGUGAAGUGGUAUCAAAAAUUGUUAGAAUCCUUUUGCUGCAUCUCUGUUGGCCCAAAGAAUAGCAUCUUUAAUGAACAAUGACCUGGGUACUGCUUCAACAUCUUGACAUGGCCACAAACCAUCUCAAAAUUGCUGACCUCCAUCAGAAAUUGAUAGUAUUGAUUCUAGCUUGGACAUUUUCAGGAAAAUGGAAAAGAAUUUAACCACUUGUCUUUCUUUAGCUCUAGUUUUAAAGUAGUGAUAUUCUAAAAGUAAAAGCCAACAAUAUACCAUAAAUUAAGUGUCAAGCUACUAACAAUAGCUAUUAGGCAAGUAAUACGUGAUUCCAUUUACCCAUAAGAAUAUUUACACUAGAAUAAAAUCCUUAGAAAAGAGAGAGAUGUUGCUAAUCAUUAGGAAAAUCUGGAAAACCUUUCAAGAAAAAAGGCCUGAAAAGACAGGUUUUUAAAUUUCAACCUCGCUAGUCAUCUAAGAAACACAAACAAAAUCAGUGAGAUUCACCUACAAAUAGUAAAAAAAUAAAAAAUCAUAAGAUGCAAGUUGAGCAAGCAGACAAUGAAACAAGCAUGCUGACAGAGAGUGGAACUUCCUUUUUAGAAAACAAUCUGGGAAAAGCCUUUGACCUGGCUGUUUCAAGCUGGGAAUCUACUCUGAGUAAAUAAUCUAAAAUUCAAAUAAAAAUGUAUGUAACCAGAUGUCCCCUGAAACAUUGCAGAUGAUACAAAGAAAUGACUAGCAAUGUAAGAAUGGUUAAGUAAAUUAUAUUAUAUUUAUAAUAGUACAUACAUGUUGUAAAGAGUUUUUAAUUACACAGGAAAACACUCAAAAUACUAAGCUGAAAAGCAGGACUUCACACUUUAUGCUAGAUGUGAUGUCAAACUCAUGCAUGUGUGUGUGAAUGUGUGAAUGUGUGCUUUCACAACCAUGCACACACUUUGAAUAUUGCAUUCUGAGAUCACUAUCUCUCUAAAGACACACAUUGUUUUUCUAAUGACAAAAACCACAUUAUUUAAAGAAUAAAAAUUUCAUAGUUUUCCAAUAAUGCUGUGCAGCUAGAACAAAAUAUCAUUUUGGACUUAUUAAAUUUGGUUAACAAUAAGUGAGAAUUAUGAGCUUCCAGACAAGGUCUAGGCAUGGUAAAGUACAGCCUAUCUUAACUACAUGCACAUUAUCCAUUUAAACAAGCUGAAAGCCAAACAUUUUGGGAUAUCAAAUAACACUUAUGAUUUAGAUAUAUUUGGUAUAUGAAAAGCAAAUCAUUCUUUGUACUGAGCCAUGCCAAGAAUCUUUAUUAACUUGUAAACUUCAGACAAAGCAGAAUAUAUUUGAAACAACAUAAAACACACUUUUUGCCAAGAUUCUAUAUAGAUCCUACAGUUCUUCCAAACAAGCCUAAACUUAAUGUUUAACUUAAUUUUGACCAUUAAACAUUUAUAACCUUUUGCUGUCAAGAGAUGUAAAAUCUGUUUCUCCUGAGUCUAUAGCUUUUAGACUUCGUUGCUGUGUAAAAUGUUUUUAUUUCUACACUAUAGAUGAGUGCCAAAUCAAAUGAAAGGUCUUCUUUCUCUUCCCCAGGAAAAGAUAUUACAAAGACUAGUAUUGUCAAUGAAUUGACAGAAAUUAUUUAUCAAUACCAAUAGAAGUGGAAAAGCUUUUAAUUUCUCUCAACCCUAAAACUAGUUUCCAUGAUUAUGUUAGCAUCAGAACAAAACUAAUUUUGAAAUGUCUCCUCUGUUUUGUGAUGUGGUCCAAAAUGGGAAUGGAUCUUUGUUUGACAAUAGACACUGAUGGGCACUCUAAAGGCUUCCUGAUGAUAUAGGGGACCUUUUCUCCAAUUCUUGCUUUUCUGUCUUUGGUCACGGUCAUUUCUAAGAGUACAAUUUCCUUUUCUUAUAGAAAAAAGACUAUUUCUAAAAUUAAUCUUGUUGAAGCAUGAUCAGAACAAUUUUUGAGCAUAAAUUCCCAAUUUACUUAAAAUAACUUUUCUUGAAAUUCUACACAGAAGUGGAAUACCUGUGCUCAUUUUUACCGUGUACCUGCAUGACAAUGUGUUCAUACAGCACUUUAUAAAAGGUAAUAGCAUUCAAAUCCAAAUACAAGACAAUUUUGAAUAUAAAGAAUUAAUCACGUCAAUUUGGAGGGAUUAUUGGAACAAAAAAGUGACAAUUAAAUGAUACUUGAUUUCUACCUCCUUUCUAAGGCAAUUUCCAACUUUGGAAAUAUAACUCUGGGGAGUGAUAUUAAAGUGGCUCAAACAAAUUUAAAAAUAAUUAAAAAUGGCUCUAUAAUAAAUUUUUAAAGCCAAAGAAUUUUCAAAAAUCUCAGUUAUUUAGAGACAUUGGAUCUGCAGAAUUUUAACAUAUCACAUUUACUAGUUGUUUUUUUCAUUUCUUGAUGCUACUUGUAUUUUCUCAUUUUUAUAUUAACUUUGUAUAACUUGUUUUAAAUAAUUGAAAGACAAAGUAAGUAGCAGAUAGCUCAUUGGCCUAUAAUUUCUUUUAUUGUUGUUUUGUUUUUCUUUUUGGUGUUGGACUGGGGAUUAAACCCAGCAGCACUUAACCACCCACUCAUAUUCCCAGCCUUUUAAAAAUAUUUUUAUUUUGAGAAAGGCAAGUUUUCAAAAACUGAAAAUUUGUUCACCUAUCAAUAUUUUUACAAAGAAACUUUAAAACAAAUGAAGAAAAAAGA
Ictidomys tridecemlineatus (thirteen-lined ground squirrel) is the source of this 9405-nucleotide non-coding RNA. The record is from RefSeq and is a predicted model, not a curated record. Lineage: Eukaryota; Metazoa; Chordata; Mammalia; Rodentia; Sciuridae.